Erinaceus europaeus (western European hedgehog) is the source of this 324-nucleotide unclassified non-coding RNA. Its record names the gene 7SK. It matches the Rfam family "7SK RNA". From Rfam's summary of the family: 7SK was discovered as an abundant small nuclear RNA in the mid-70s but a possible function has only recently been suggested. NCBI's taxonomy places the organism in Eukaryota, Metazoa, Chordata, Mammalia, Eulipotyphla, Erinaceidae. The record is from Ensembl.
GGAUGUGAGGGCGAUCUGGCUACGACAUCUGUCACCCCAUUGAUCGCCAGGGUUGAUUCGGCUGAUCUGGCUGGCUAGGCGGGUGUCCCCUUCCUCCCUCACCACUCCAUGUGCGUCCCUCCCGAAGCUGCGCGCUCGGUCGAAGAGGACGGCCUUCUCCGAAUAGAGACGGACCGGUCUUCGGUCGAGGGUAUACGAGUAGCUGCGCUCCCCUGCUAGAACCUCCAAACAAGCUCUCAAGGUCCUAAUUAUACAUACUGAUUCAUCAGUGAAAGAAUCACAAUUAUAGUAAAUAAUAUCCACCCCAAGUCUUAAGUUGCAGGU